GACUGCUGCUAACACCCUGAACAAGCCCAAUCUCAAGCCAAGCAGGGCCGGGCCUGGUCAGUACUUGGAUGGGAGACCGCUUGGGAAUACCAGGUGCUGUAAGCU
This 105-nucleotide ribosomal RNA is filed under the name Stegastes partitus (bicolor damselfish). The record is from RNAcentral. Lineage: Eukaryota; Metazoa; Chordata; Actinopteri; Pomacentridae.